Molecule: long non-coding RNA, 1534 nt
Organism: Falco peregrinus (peregrine falcon)
Lineage: Eukaryota; Metazoa; Chordata; Aves; Falconiformes; Falconidae
Exons: 3
Source: RefSeq, a predicted model, not a curated record
CCUCACAUCCGUUUGUGGUUUGUAAAGAGAGAGAGGAGAGAGAGGAAAAAAAAAAAAAAUCUCUUCCAAAACAGCACCGGUCUGCAGAUGUCUGCGAGAGAAUCAACAAACCCUCCUUCUUCUACGGCAGGGCAGGAAAGCACUGUACAUACUGCCAUCACAUUUCUUUAUGUACAUAUGUGAAGACAGCAUUGACCAAUCAAUAAAAGGAGUAAAGGGGCAGUUUUGACCAGCUGGGCCCCUUAAGUGAGACGCUUCUGCCAGAGAACUUCUCAAGUGACAGUUCCAAACAGGAGCUGCAUGGACUACAGCAUUGGAGAUUUCUCGGGAUUUGUCCACACACCACAUCGUAUUUGAUGCUCUUUGCCACAGACUGAGCUACAGCAUUUUCUAGUACUCACUGAUCCAAAAGAGCCACAGAAAAGUCAUGAAGUGUUUUACUCUGCUGGCAGUUAGAUCUAUGGCUUUAGGAAGUAAGACUUCUAUAUAACUCUUGAACUACAACUCUAGUAUUGGUCCCUAACCCUUGCCUUCACCAUAGUUGUAUGACAGACGCCCAUGAAGAACUAACUGUAAAGCAUUUAGACCUAUUGGUGAGAGAAUGAGUAUGUAAUCUUGUUUAUCUGCUGUAAUGAUGCUUUACUAUGGUCUUACACUGAAUUAUUUGAGUGCACAUUCUCAGGUCAGGAUUAGUUCUAGCAUCCCUAUAUGGCAGCCUGCAAAGGCCUGCGCCUUUUGAGCAAAUCAGUUAGCAUUUCUGUUCCUUAAAUUGUUUGGGUGGGGACAGAUGGCUGUGACAGACCUUGUAUAUUCUCCUCUUCACAGCUUCUCCAAUAGUCCGUAAACCCAACCUCCAACACCCUAUGAUUUCAGUUCUUGGCUUUGUAUCACCAAAAAUUGCUAGCUGUGCCAAAUUUAGGAAGCAGAGUAGUUUUUGAAAUAUGGAAAAGUAUCCAGUAGGGACCAAGCUAAAGCUAUCAAAUUCAUUGAACAGAUUAUAAACCAUAUUUAAAGCUAUUUCUCGAUGGGUUAAAGGCUGGUUCAUUAACAAAAGAUUUAAAUGUUUGCCACUCCUUUGCCUUGGUACAGCAGUAAAAAUUCUGAAAAUUUGAUAGCUCUGUGCUGUGUUGAACAGAAUCAAAUCCUUCAUAUAAGCCAAACUUCAGUUCUCUACUAAUAAAAUCUUACAUGCCACUUUAUAGUGCAUGUUUAUUCUGUAGUGAAAAUGACACAAAUCCUUAAUACAGCAUCAGUGCUGCCUGUUGAGCUUUGUAUUCCUAUAAAUGUUCCCAUGGGAAAUCUGAAGGUUGGCACUGGUAGACUGUAUUUUUAAAAUAUCACAAUGGGGUGGAACCCAGCAUCAUGUUGCUUAUUACACUGGUGAUCUAUCUAAUGGUAUUCUUUGCUGCUGAAAUCUAAUAAAAAUAACAUUUUUGAAAUAUUAGAUAUUGGAUUAAAGCUCCUAAUUGUCUCUUUCAUAACCAAAGAAGGUCCAUAUUAAUAAUUCUUUCCAGAGCCAUUCAAACGAAGACAU